AGUGAACGCUGGCGGUAGGCCUAACACAUGCAAGUCGAACGGCAGCACAGUAAGAGCUUGCUCUUACGGGUGGCGAGUGGCGGACGGGCGAGGAAUACAUCGGAAUCUACUUUUUCGUGGGGGAUAACGUAGGGAAACUUACGCUAAUACCGCAUACGACCUACGGGUGAAAGCAGGGGAUCUUCGGACCUUGCGCGAUUGAAUGAGCCGAUGUCGGAUUAGCUAGUUGGCGGGGUAAAGGCCCACCAAGGCGACGAUCCGUAGCUGGUCUGAGAGGAUGAUCAGCCACACUGGAACUGAGACACGGUCCAGACUCCUACGGGAGGCAGCAGUGGGGAAUAUUGGACAAUGGGCGCAAGCCUGAUCCAGCCAUACCGCGUGGGUGAAGAAGGCCUUCGGGUUGUAAAGCCCUUUUGUUGGGAAAGAAAAGCAGCAGGUUAAUACCCCGCUGUUCUGACGGUACCCAAAGAAUAAGUACCGGCUAACUUCGUG
RNAcentral lists this ribosomal RNA (492 nucleotides) under uncultured bacterium. Its description in RNAcentral is "partial 16S ribosomal RNA". It matches the Rfam family "Bacterial small subunit ribosomal RNA", at positions 29 to 507 of the family's 1533-position model. The record is from RNAcentral.